ACUGCCCGGCCAGCCCCGGAGGGAGGCUGGGCAGGUGCUGCGGGCUCUGCCGAAAGCGCUGAAAUAAAAAACCAUCGCCACUCAGGGAGAACUGAGGCAAGUGGGGCUGAGACUCUGGCGACACCCCCGCCCCCCAGCCUCUGCCCCAGCGCCUGCCGCCCUGCCGCCCUGCCGCACCCCGCCUGCUUGGGUGGCGACCGCGGUUCCGGAACGCGAAGCAGGGCAGAGGGCUGCAGAGAGGCGUGUAGCUUUGUGCGCCAGGACCCGGUGGGGCAGGUGGCAGCCCCGGGCUGUCCGCGCCUCCCAGCAGAGCCGAGCUCGGCGCCGCCCACCGAGCCCACCUCGCGGUCCAGCCGCCGCCAGCGCCUUUCGGCUCUGGCCUGAAGCAGUACUCCCGCCUCCUGGAGCGGGUAAGUUGAGAGUCCGGAGAGCAGGGCAGGGAGGCGGGGCGGCUGGUCCCAGAGCGGAGGGCCGGACUGGCUCCCCGCCGGGCUGGGGGCGCAGGCUCCAUAGGAUCUCAGUCGAGGGGUUCUGAGUGCGUGUUUGGGUGGGAAGCAGGGCUGUGGAGCGCCAGAGCUUCCCCUCCCAAAUUCCCAGGCGCUGGGCACUGGGGAGUGGAGCAGAAGCAGAGGGACCUUGGGUUCCGGGGCCCAGCGGCCUUCCACGCUGGUCUGGGAACCAAGCAAGCCCUAGGGCAGUGCGAGGACUGGGAAGGGACCCUGGGGGACCGCUAGAGGAGGUGGCGCGUGGAGGGCGCCUGCACCCUGGGGUCGCUCAGAGCGGAGAGUCUCGGGUGGAUAGGUCAGCUUGCAGAUCCUCUAGGUCUCUUCUCUGCUCUCUGGCCGCUCUGAUUGCGGGAUCUGGGACUUGGCGCCCGUACAGGCCGGGUCACCUGUGCAGAACAAAUUUGCUGCCAUCAUCCCCGCUUCAAUCCUGGCCCCGGCGAUCUAAAAUAUCGCCUUCAGGUGGGGCAGGGAGAAAAGAUGUCUUUGGGGUUUAAAUAGUGUUCUCCUUGUACCCGGACCAACUGGCAUUUAUUUACAAAUGUCACCCGCCACCCCAGCACUGGGAAAGUCUCAACCACAUCUGGAGAACGCCCGAGAGACCUCCCACUCUCUCCUUGUUUUGGGUUACAGGGAAAGCCAACGGGUCUGCAGGCCUCCGGGAGACGAGGAUCCGGAGGGUUGGGGCAGCUGCACCCACUUGGCCUUGCUCAGCUCUAAACAGCCGACCAGGAGGCCGGGGGAAGGUUUGCCCUGUGGGGGCAACGCCCCUUCCGGCUCCCAGGAUGUCGGGAGGCGGAGGCUGGCCGGGUGGCCCGUAGUCUGGGCCUCCCCGCAAGCUGCAAACUGAGGCGCUUGGCGCGGGCGGCCAGGGAGGGCGCAGGGGAGCGCAGCACGCAGGCGGGGAGGCCGCGAAGCCCUUCAAGGACCCCGAUUACUUUCCUUUGAAAAACAACAACAACAACUGCUCCCUCCCCGCACCCCCGCCCCCCGCCUUAGCCUCCGGGGACUGGCGCUCCAAGCAAUUGUCGCCCCGGACAGUAAACACAGCUCAGUUGCCUCAACUUUCUCCAUGCAUAAAAGUUCCUGGCGUGCGGGGAAAUUUGAAUAUUUGAUCAGCCCCUUUGAGUGACCCUCAUUAGUCCGGCGCCCUGCUAAGGCCGGGCAUUGCAAGAAAGCUGCUGGGCUCGGCAUUUGUACGCCUUGUUAGCGCAGCUUAAUGAAGCCGCCCCGACGGCUCAAAGGCGGCCUCAGGGGCCGGCGACGCGCACCUCUCGGCACCCUGCUCUGCCUAAUGAGCCCCGCCGCCCUCUAAAGGACCCUCCACCCCCCACAUUCUGAAACAGGGGAAGUUUGGCUCUGUCUUGAACCACGGCACCUCCCACUGCCAGGCCCAGGAGGGUGGGCACAAACCCAGCCUAGCUGCCUGCAGUUACCCAUUCCCAAGAGAGAGGGGCUGGAGAGUUGGGAGGUGUGAGCCAUACUGGUUGGGGGCAGUGCAGGGAGGGGAGCGGGUGGCAGGAGAGGCUUUUGCUGUCUCAGGAUCCAGCCCAGGGAGUGCACUGCCAGCCUCUCCCAAGUGGACCAAUUGCAAAUCAAUUAGUCACUCCAGUUCCUUAAAGGUGCAUCUGGACUAAUGCUGGGGUGGCUGAGGGUCAGCCUUCCAUCCUCCUAUCACCUUAGGUUCCCUUGGCUUCCACUGCCCAGAGGCCACACACUUCUUCCCAAGGUUCCCCUUCUGAACAGCCAGACCUGGUGUGCCAGGACUUGGAUUUGAGAAAGGGUGGGCAGCUCCCCUCCCUAACCCAUCAUUGCCUCCACCAUUCACAGAGCCCAGUCACAUGUUAUGACAAGUGGCAGUAGGGAAGGCAGGGGACCACAGCCCGUCCUGCACUCCCCCUCAACAGAGGUAUCCCUUCUUUGGCUUCUAGUCCCAGGGAGGCCUGGCAAAAAAAGUGCUAUAGGCAAGACCACCCUGCAAGACUGGCCUGGCAGCCUGGCAGAGAGGCAGAGAGCCAGAGCCCUGGAAGGAAGGGAAACCAAAGCAGUCAUCUACUUCACCUUUUCUUAGUGGGGCAGCUGACAUGGCUGGCCAGUAAAUAUAAGACACCCUCUUAAAAAUUGUGCUUCAGUCCUCAGGAAGUGUAGCCUUCCUUCCCUUUCUGUCUCCCCUCUCCUCUGAUGCCCUUUUCCCUGGACAGUCGGAGCUCAAGGUCCUUCACUCCCUCCUUGCAUACACAGCUCUUGGGCCCUUAAGGGUUACUUUUGGGGGGAAUUAAUGCUCUGGGCUUGGGAAGCAGGCUGCUCCAAAUCCACACUCAGGACUUUCUGGACCCCACCCCCCAACACACAAACACAAACAUGCCCAGGAUCCCUCAGACACACAGUGGGCCUGGUCAGGUUGGUAACCUCAGGACCCCGUGCCCGCGUGAGCGUCUCUGGGAGGUCGUGGAAAGGAACCAAAAGGCCAGGUAGGCCCUGGGAUACAGAGAGCCCUCCAAGUCCAUCUGGUUUGCUUCUCUUCCUUUCUCUCUCCCUAGCUCCGCUAGCAUGCCCUGCCCCAUUUCCCAUCACAUAACCCCCUAACUUAACCCUAAACUGGCAAUCUUUAGGCAUCACCUCUGAGCUGGGCAAAGGCGGUGCCCGGGCCUUGAUCGACCCAGAGGGCUAAAGUAGGGGCGGGGAAGGGAGGGGUGUGCGCUGCUGGUGAGAAAGGGGACCUGAGGCGAGGGUAGAACUCAGCCCUGUGGCCUCGAGGCCAGGCCCACCGGCUGCUCAGGGGAGGAGGCGAGGGGAGGGGGCUGGGAGUCCGCAGGCAUCGGUCGGGGCAGCAGGGACCUCAGGCGUCGGCGUGGGGGGCUAGAUCCGGAGGAGAGGGGAGGGGAGGCGGGGGUCGGGGGAUCGCGCAGGGCGGAGGAGGGGUGCAGCUCUUUAAGAGCCACACGGCUGGCAGGAGAGGCGCGCGGCCCGGUGCUGGUAGAGCACUGACCCCGAAGGGGAUUUAGCGGGAAGAGAGUGGCCGGGCUCUGGGGGUUUUGUCCGAGGGGGCCGGGAGAGGCCGAGACACAAGAAUAAGGAGCGGCCGCGGCAUGAAAGGCGGCGAGGAGAGGCAGCACUGCUGCUCUUGACUUCUGAGCAGGGCUUAGAGAGCCUGCCCCGGCUUAAGCCGAGCUGCUGGUGCUGACCCUGAGCGCCGAGUCCGCGAGCUCUGAGUCCGGAGCCUCCCAGCCGUGGAGCCGUGGGAUGAGGGGGGCGUUGGGGGACAGGGCAAAGUCGAUCUUGGUUGUACAGCCGCCCGAUCCUAGCGCGGAGCUGCGAGCCUGACCGGCCGCGUCUGGCAUGGUCAGAGAAAGAAUUUUCUUUUCCCAACUCCGGCUUUUGGUUUUGUGUGUCCACCUUGCGCAACUCCGGAGCCAGCCGACCCCACAUGGAUUCUCAACAGGUGGCCGGGAAAGUCUGGAGACUCACCAAGCUGAGGAGGAAGAAGGGAACAUCUCAACCCAAGCUGAAUUCUGAAGAACACUUGGCCCCAUCUUCCAGAAAUCCUAAAUCACAUAGAGGGAAAGUUUUGGCCAGGGCACCAAGAAUGAACCAGAAGCUGAGUCCAUUACUCCAAUUUUCACAUUAACCAGGAGACACAUUGAAAAUUCUUUUCUUGAGUGAGAGACUGAAAUUUUGGCUCAAGGGUGUUUCUGUUGGGUCUUCUCUUUAUAUGGCAUGUGAGGACUGCAUCCCACGUCACAUCUGCAGCCACUCCCAGAUUACACUGCAAGGGAGGGUAGAUUAGGAGUGGGUAGGGAGUAGAGGGGUCUGUAGACACAGCAAAAGCAGCAAGCUGGUGUGGGAAAACCCAGAAAAUAUGUCUCAGAGACAGCCAGUGGCUGCACAUACAAAAGGAAGGCACCUACCUGGAAGAGAAGGGGUUGUGAAGUUCUGCCCAGAGUCACAGCGCUGACGUCCUCAGAAGGUCUCCAGCCCUCUGCAGCAAUCUAUAGUAUGCAUCAGUAUGGUUGGAAAAGCUUCUUCUAUCAAGUUUAACAACUUUCUGGUGUAACUUCUGAGAGGGCUGAUUGCUUAUUCAUGCGGAAGCAAGACGCCCAGUUCAUUUUGCCCGUUUUUGCUACUCUUUGUUGGGUUUGGGAGGCUGUUAUGGUAGCUGCAAAUGGCUUCUCAAGUGACAUUUGCUGACAUUCAGUGAAGUACAUUUAUCAGUAUUCGCCAGCUCACCUCUACACAUGCAAUCCAUUUUGUUUUGUUCUUCAUAGCAAACUCCUUUCCGACACCCGUGCCCUGAAAAUGAUAAAUGGCAAGGUGGCAUAUUUCUGAAGCUGCACUCAAGUGUCACUGUGAAAAAUCUUUAAUGGACUAAGUGUAGCUUUUCAUGUUACAGCUUGUCAGGUACUGAGAAAUUCUAGAGUUUGUCUUUAAUCCUCAAGUCUUUGGAACCACACUUCUGCAAGCAGAGACUAAUUAUAAGCUGCACCACUCAGACCUGGGCAAGCAGAAACCAAGGAGAAAACAUUUGAUAUCAGCAAAUUCUUUAUUAUUAUUAUUAUUAUUAUUAUUAUUCUCAUUCCAUUUUUGCUCCUUCCUUUCCUACUCAAGAUAUUUGAGGCAUGAGCAAUCUGUGACUCUAAUUAAGGGGGUGACAGCCCCAACCAGGCCACCAUGCAGGCUUAUAAUCCACUCAUACACCCAGCUUUCUCCAUAAUGGCUUUAUUCUUUUCCUCCAAGGUUCAAAAUCACCAUGACUUCUCCCCCACAAAAAAAAAAAAAAAAAGAAAAAGAAAACUGACUCUGAAUCAUAAAUCCUGGCUCCCAAAUAUUGGCCAUAAUUGGGUAGGUGAGAUGUAUCUUGUAUGUCUGGGUGGAAGAGGCUCCUUUCUCCCUGGUGAUUCAUUUUCAGAACACACGGCCAUCCUUCCAAUGGCUUUGAGUUUCACGUCACCACCGGAAAGACCUGCCAGUUUCUUCCUGUUUGUGUGCCUGUCCACUGCCAUCAUGCUACUCCCAGGACUAUGGCUUCUGGGCACUCACUCACCCUUCAACAUGGCUUGUUCACUCCAGUUCUCCCUUUCCAAAUGUUCUCAAUCCCCUGGGCUGUGCGCCAAGGGGGAUUCAGCCCUUGCCCACCGGCUAUGGUCUGAAUGUUUGUGUCUUCCCCAGAUUAAUAUGUUGAAAUUUAAUCACAAAUGUGAUGGUGUAAUAAGGUGGGGACUUUGGGACUUUAUUAGGUCAUGGAGGGGGAGCCUCAUAAAAAAGGCUGCCUUGCCCCCUCCAUCGUGUAAAUCACCAUCUGUGAACCAGGAAAUGGGCCCUCACCAGACACCGAAUCUGCCGGUUCCUUGAUCUCGGACUUCCCAGUCUCCAGAACUGUGGGAAACACAUUUCUGUUGUUUAUGAGCCACCCAGUUUAAGGUAUUUUGUUAUAGCAGCCCAGAUGGACUAGGCCACCACCAUAGUCAGGGAAGAGCUGGCUGAUUUGUGCGUGUCUGCGCUGUGUCCCAAUGAAAGCACAAUAAUCAAUGAACAUUGAUUCUGCAAUCGAUGUUUGAAGGUCAAAGGAGUUGGGAAAGGGGGUCUCCUGAAGCCAAGGAAAAGCAUUGUACUCCCCAAAACUGUGCCAGCCAGGUUAACUUUUUGCGAGAUGCUACAGAUUGAGAUGCUUUAGUUUUACUUCUGGCUCUUUAAGCCCUACUCAAGCUCUAAUUUUGAUAUCUCGUUCUAGACGCCUUAGUUUGGGCCCCUCCCAGGCUCCCUUCUGUUUUUGUUCUUUUUUUCUAACAUCAUCCUUGGCUUUUCUUCUCCUUUAGGUUUGAUCUCCUGUCUCUUGGGUUGAGAAACCAUCCCCUCUGACUCCUGGCCCCCUGUGACCCCUCCAAAGCCCCCUGUACAGGUCUUUGGCCACACAGAGAUUCAACAGUCUAAUAAUCUAAAAUUGUAAAUGCCACAAUUUGUGUGCGUGUUUACUGUGUCUCAGUUUUGAGUUCUUUUUGAAAUCUUUUAGUUAUUCCAGAAGGGAUAGGAUAAAGAGAAGAAAUCAGUUAUACUCCCAGUGGCCAGGCAUGGUAGGGCAGAAAGAGUGUUGACACUCACUACCCCUGCAGGGGGAGAGGGCAGAGGACCCAGGUUAACUACCCAGAGAUGAGAUGGAUCCUGGUCUAACUCAGGCCCUGGGAUACCUGCACCAAUUGCUCUCAGCAGGUCGAGACAUCACAGAAGAAGAGAAGACAUGUCAACUCUCUACAAUAGUGUCUUAGCCCUGGAGAUACUAUUGGAGAGUGACAACAGACAGCAAACAGGGUUCUAUUCAUAGUGGCCAUGGUUUCCCCAAGCAGAGAACAUAUCCAACCAAAGGGACUUCAGCAAAGCUUUUCCUAAUCUGUGCUCUGAAAUGGCUAAGUAGAAGAGAGCUAUCUAGAGUGUAUGAGGAUGUCUUUAAAGUCAACCUUGCAAUAACUAUUGCAUGCAGACUGUAAUUGUGGGCUAAAAGUGAAGGCUGUUUUGUUAGGUGAGACCCUUCCAGAGCACCUCCUGCAUAUGUACACACAUUCUCUCUCUCUCUGUCUCACACACACACACACACACACCUCCCCCCACAACACACACACACACACACACACACACAACCUCCCCCCACAACACACACACACACACACACACACACACACCUCCCCCCACAACCCACACACACAAAACCAACCCCAUCCCAGGGAACCCAACAGUCAUAGAUCUCAUCUGGAGUCCAACUCCUAAUCCAGGUGUCAUGAUCAUCACGUGAGAGAUAGCAGAAUCUCCACCAAUUUUGGAAAGAACUACUCAAGUGUUUUCUAAAAGAAAUAAUGGAAAAAAGUAAACAGCCAAUUGAAUUGCCAAUAAUAAAAAUAGGAUGUGGCUAUCUCCUAUAUUUUGCCGUUUAUAUCCAAAAUAACUUAUGGACAUGCACAAAACAUCCAUGAAAAUAAAAACAUAACCAUUACCUUCAAAAAUCACCCUGGACCCUUUACAUUCUCACCUCUCUCCCUGCCAGCUAUCUGGCUCACUGAAGUCUUGACCUCCGGGGCUCAAGUGAUCUUCCCACCUCAGUCUCCUGACUAGCUGGGACCACAGGCACACGCCACCACGACUGGCUAGUUUUUUUUAUUGUCUGUGGAGGCAUGGUCUCACUAUGUUGCCCAGGUUGGUCUCAAAGUCCUGGGCUCAAGCAAUCUGCCACCUUGGCCUCCCAAAGUGCUGGGAUUACAGGCGUGAGCCACCGCACCUAGCCUCUAUCAUAAUUUUAUUGACAGAGCACAUGGUUGUUUAACCCAGUAAGAGUCUAUAUACUAUUCUUGAUUAGGCAAACUUUGGCUCAUGGAACAAAUUCAUUCUCAUGCUACCUGUUUUGUGAAUAAAAUCUUAUUGGAUCAGAGCCAUGGCCAUUCAUUUAUACACAUUAUACGUAGCUGCUUUCCUGCUACAACCACAAGGCCAAUCGACAGAGACCAUGUGGCCCAUCAAGCCUGAAAUGUUUACUAUCUGGCCUUUUACAGAGUUUGCUAAUCCCUGUUUUAGAUUAUAGAGGAUGUUUGAAUGGUCAAGUAGAGAUGACAAACUGAUGAUUCUAGCACUAGAGGGGCGAGUCGAGGACUGCAGAAACAAAAGCCA
Molecule: long non-coding RNA, 8150 nt
Filed under: Homo sapiens (human)
Lineage: Eukaryota; Metazoa; Chordata; Mammalia; Primates; Hominidae
Description: non-protein coding LINC01833:25
Source: RNAcentral